Molecule: long non-coding RNA, 795 nt
Organism: Nomascus leucogenys (northern white-cheeked gibbon)
Lineage: Eukaryota; Metazoa; Chordata; Mammalia; Primates; Hylobatidae
Exons: 4
Source: RefSeq, a predicted model, not a curated record
ACCUCGGAGCGGCUCAGCGCGGCGCACAAGUCUCGCGAGAGAAGCGGCGGCUGGGCCCUGCGGGCGGAGGAAGUGGAAGAAAUCGCGGGAGGGUAGUGGACCGCGGAACUUCUGGUUGCUAUGACGACGGCAAAGCCCUGGAUUCCUGUCUCCUGCGGAGAGCAGAGGCUGCAAACGUGGGUACAGUUUUCAACCUGCCCGGCGCACUGGCGGGCAUUCAAGAAGCCCUGAGGAGAGGUCCACAUGGUGAGCCACUGAGGGCCUUGCUGAGAGCCAGCACCAACAUGCCAGGUUUGGAGUGUACCACCUUGGAAGUGCAUCUUCCAGUCCAGUCAAGCCUUCAGGUGACUUCAGAACCGUCCCUGUAAGCCACUCUUGGAUUUCUCACCCACAGAAUCUGUUGGAGACAGACAAACAUAUGCCUCCUGAUUGAAAAAACAGAACAUCACCUGUAGUCUUGCCAGUGAGAUCAAACUGAAGUCCAAUUAACCUCUGGAUCCAGCUGCCAAUUUGCAGGAAAUAGAGGACAGAAGCAUCUGUUGAACUGCACCAUGAGUAUACACUCAGCAAAGGCCAAACUGUGGAAAAUGAUACAGGCCAAACAGCCUUUAACAGGAAGUGAUGUUUCUGAAGCACCAAUGAAAAUGAAGUCCUGAAGUCUUGUGCUCAAUAUGUAAUGUUGGAAGUUAGAAAGAAAAAAACAAAACGUGGAUCCAAUCUCAAGGCACUUUUGGUUUAGUGGGAAGAAGUGGAUUAUUUUAAAAGCUACAAAUAAAGUUACAUAAAAGUAGCAAA